GAAUUGAUAGGGGGAUACCACCGCCCCGGUGAGCGCACUGACGAUUUCCUCAAUCGCCUGCCUCCCCACAGGGGACGUGCAGAGGUGUUCCGGGGGUGCCAAUGCGGUCACGGCCUGUUGCCCGAGCUCUUCUUCCCAACUUGCCGGGACGAGCGGCGUGGCCAGCCCGGCGAGCGUGGGGAUCCCCCAUCGCGCUAGGAGCACGAUGAUCACGAUGACGGUG
This 223-nucleotide unclassified non-coding RNA is filed under the name plant metagenome. RNAcentral describes it as "partial contains 5.8S ribosomal RNA, internal transcribed spacer 2, and large subunit ribosomal RNA". The record is from RNAcentral.